ACUCCGGUGGACCAGUGGUUAGAGCAUCCGCCUUGGAUGUGGGAGGUCGUGGGUUCGAUCCCUGGUGGAGUC
Non-coding RNA from Potamilus streckersoni, 72 nucleotides. Lineage: Eukaryota; Metazoa; Mollusca; Bivalvia; Unionida; Unionidae. The record is from the annotation of a GenBank genome assembly.